UGUGACCUGGGACCUCAGUCAGCAU
RNAcentral lists this non-coding RNA (25 nucleotides) under Mus musculus (house mouse). Lineage: Eukaryota; Metazoa; Chordata; Mammalia; Rodentia; Muridae. The record is from RNAcentral.